UUUUUUUUAAAAUUUUUUUUUUGGAGGUGGACAAUGAAUACUUGUCUUCUAUUGUUUUCCUAUAUAGAACUUCACUAGUUUCUGAAAAUUCAAUUAAAAGAAUGCGUAUGUUCUCCUUCCCCCUCUCCUGCCACCACCCACAUUUCCACCGCCUAUGUGCAUAUUACUAAUUAGCUCCGAAACCCCUUUAUUUUUCGUGAUAAUUAUUGGUACCAACAUGGUUGCUACCAUUGCUAUCACUAUUACUACCAACAGCACCACCAUUGAUUAUGCCAUCACCAGCGCUGACAUCGGUACCAUUUAUUCUACAAAAAAUUAAGAAAAGAUAAUAAAGAGGAAGACUGCAAAAUUGCAUGACCUGCUUCUGGUUAUUAAUUUUGAGUAAUUUGUUGUCAACUUUAUGUGAAUACUGAUCAUUUAAUUAUUCAUUUCAUGUAGGAUUUAAUGAUAACUGGUUGUCAUAGCCCUGAGAGAAACGUAGGAUUUGGAUUAACACUUCUAGGCAUCUAAAGGAAAAAAAAAUUAAGAAAUGGUAGGCAGAAGGAAAAUGGUAAUUGCUUAUAGUUUUUAUUGAGUAAAAAAGUGCAUCUUAUACAUAUAUAUUCUGUCUUAGCUUGUUGGUAAGUUGUCAUCGUUACAAAAGUUGGAUUGUGGGUUCCAUCCAAGAUCUCUCUCUGAUGGUUUUUCGUAGUAGAUUGAUACCAUUUUUGUGCAUAAUGCAGUAUUCGACACAUUACAGCUGAG
This 744-nucleotide unclassified non-coding RNA is filed under the name Hevea brasiliensis (rubber tree). The record is from RNAcentral. Lineage: Eukaryota; Viridiplantae; Streptophyta; Magnoliopsida; Malpighiales; Euphorbiaceae.